Xenopus laevis (African clawed frog) is the source of this 1174-nucleotide long non-coding RNA. RefSeq lists it as uncharacterized. The record is from RefSeq and is a predicted model, not a curated record. Lineage: Eukaryota; Metazoa; Chordata; Amphibia; Anura; Pipidae. The transcript has 4 exons.
UUCUGGCACACAUUGUGGGGUGGUGCAAUUACAAGGGUCAUUCUCUCUCUAUAUUUGUCUUUGAUUACCAUACAAUAAUUCAUCAGUGCUGUACUACAAUUCCUGAAUCCAGCAUCUAACAGUAAUCAUAUAUUACUAGCACACCGCAAGCGCUUGAUGCUGCCUCUUAGGUGUCCAAAGUAUAAUAAAAAAAAGUUGGUGUGUGACUCCCAACUCCCAGAUGCUUCCAUUCUGAUUGGUUGGGGGGCGUGGCCAUAAGGGUCAAUGAUGACAUGCGCGCAUAGUUAUUUGAAUGCGCAUAACUAAUGAAUUCUACCCAAUGCGCCUCAAGGCUGCCUCGGGCAGCAGGCAGGAAGAGCUGGAGAAAAUAGUGACGUCACCCAAGUCACACACUGCAGUGCUGAGAGAUCGUAGCUGCUUCAACAUGAGACCACAGAGAAACCACAAGAAACGGCCUGCAAGAACUUUCAUGAAUGGAGAUGUUCUACCAGCUGCUGGAGCAUAAAUUCAUGAGAGAAGCCCUGGACAUAGACCCCUGUCUGAAGCUUACUGAUAAGUACCUCUUGGCCACGGUCCAGGUGUAUUUCCAGCGAGCCAGGCUUAAAGAAGAGGAGUACAUCGUAGGGUACUUUUUUGGAGCCGUGUAAGUAGCUUUCUUUAUUUCCAUGCAUGUUCUACAAAAUAAUAAGAGGAUGAAUUUAUAUCUGAAUAGCUGUAUAAAGAAAUAAAAGUCCAAUUGGUCUAUAAACUUAACUCAUUGGCAAAUCUUGCAUAGUUUUGACACAUGACAGUUGUGAAUGGGUACAUCAAGGAGGAAGGUAAGAGAUGUUGAGGGGAGCCAGACAGUGUAGUUAAUAGUGGACUGUGACAUAGAUGGCAGGGAUUGGGUGAAUCAGAGGCAUGAGUUGGGAUGAUUUGGAGUCAGGAUUCAAACUCAGACAGGCCCAGGAAAAAAACAGGCAGGUGUUAAACCUAAUCUAACAAUAUGUCAACCCUAUACUUCAACCUUGCAACAUUCUGUCGCACACUGCAUUUUGGCAGGACUCUGACAAUAACACAUCUUGUGCAGUCUAGUUUAUGAGCUAGCUAGAGCAUUGUAAAGCUAGAACAGGGGUCAGCAACCUUUACUAUCAAAAGAGCCAUUUUGCCCCCUUUUCCACUACAAAAAAAUCCG